AUCAGAUCGACCGUAUCGGUUUGGAAAGAUUUCCUUAGGGUUUUGUUGAAAACACCAACGUCGCUUGCGAUUUUCGCUGCGGAGUGAAAACUGAAAACACUUCUGAUGAUGAUAAUGUUAAAUUUCGUGGUCAAAAAUCUAUAACAAAUGCUCCACCUCCUCCGGCGAAUCGGUGGAAGCCCAUGGAUUGCCGGAGAGCGAUUUUCGCUGUGCCAUCUCCGUCUCCUCCACGACUUCGCCGACAGAGCCCUACCUCCAUCAUCCUCGAGUUCAGAACUCACCGUCUCCUACCUCGUGAAUUCAUGUGGGCUCUCCCAGUCUGUUGCUCUCUCCCUCGCUAAGAGAAUCAACCUCAAGACCACGGAGAAUGCCGACUCAAUCCUUGCCCUUCUCAGAGCACACGGCUUUGCGACUAGCCAUAUUGCUUCUAUCGUCACCAAGUCUCCUCGCAUUCUCUUCUCUGAUGCGGAGAGCAAUAUCAAGUCCAAGCUGGAGUUCUUUCUCGAUGUUGGAGUGUCCAACGACAGCCUUGCAAAGCUUAUCUCAGCCAUACCUUCCAUCCUAAGGUGUAGCCUGGAAAAGAGGCUUAUGCCCAACUUUGAUAUGCUCAAGACGAUCUGCGGCAGCGACAAGCAAUUGCUAGCCAACAUCUGCAAAUUCGCCUGGCUCUUAGGUCGCAACUUCGAGAAGGAGAUCUUUCCGAACUUGAAGACUCUGCGAGACCAUGGAGUUCCCCCUUCCAGUAUAGUAAAGUUAUCUAUCAUGGCCCCGCAAGUUUUGCUGCGAAACCCUGCCCGUUUCAGCAAAUCAGUAGUUAAUCUGAAAGAAAUGGGCUUUGAUCUGUCCGCAGUGUAUUUCGUUUCAGGUCUUAAGGCAGUUUGGAUGCAGAGUAACUCAAGUUGGGAAAGGAAAUUGCAGCUGUACAAGAGUUUAGGCUGGUCAGCCGAGGAAACUAUCUCCGCGUUCAAGAAGUUUCCUUUUUGCAUGAUGAUUUCAGAUAAGAAAAUCAAGAGGGGCAUUAAUUUUUUUGUUGAGAGUGUGAAUUGUAAGCCGUCCUUUUUGGCAAAACAGCCGAUUCUCCUGUGUUUCAGUCUCGAAAAGAGAAUUGUGCCUCGGCUCAACGUUAUGAAUAUCUUGGCAUCCAAGGGACUAGAAAAGAACUUCAGUAUGACAACAAUACUGUACGCAAGUGAAAGGAGGUUCCUUGAGAAAUAUGUCGUUAAGUACAAAGAUCAAGCUCCAGAAGUUAUUCUCGCUUACAAGGAUAAAAUUGAUUCGAAAGGUCUCAUGUUCAAUCAGUAGCCAUGGAGCCUUAAGUUGUCCUUGUUGUAAUUGUAGAUGCUUUUUAUGUUAUGCAAGUGGAAGAUGACAAUUGAUGCCAGGGGCAGCAUUCACUAUUUGUGGCUAUGCAGUGUAAAUGUUGAUCGGUAAAUUAGUUGUGGAAGACUAGAAGCUAUUGCAUCUGUCUGUGCUUCCAGUUCAAGGAAUCUGCUGUGGAAUAUUUUGCAUAAUUUGGUUCAUUUAAGAACAAGUGUUUCUGGCUAUCAGCCCAGUGCCUAAAUAAAAGACAAGUAAAGAUAGCUUCGAUCUUGCUGGGCUCUUUCGUUCCUUCUUUUUCUUUUUUCCCCUGGUUUUGGGCUCUUUAGUUCUUAUGAUACAUUGUAUUAGUUUGCUGCGUUUCUGGAGCUUUUUGUAGGUGCUGAGUGGCUGAGCACAGGUCAAAGGCUUUAGGCCUUUUUUGUGAAGCUGCCAAUGCCAGCACCAAUUGGCUACUACGCCUCUUCUAUAACACAACUGCACUGAAGAACCGCAUCAAGUGGCCUCCUCGCUACUAUUAUGAACAAUUUCUUCCCGGCAAUUGUAAGUCAGCCUCAGGAAUAUUUAUAUUUGUUACUUUUUAAUUAAUUUAACUUGUUGAGUAGCAUCAAUUAAUUGAAUCAUAUAAGAUAUUUUGUGGAUGAUUCAAACUGAAUUUAUAUUUUUAUCACUUAUCAGAA
This is an RNA transcript of Dendrobium catenatum, 1997 nucleotides long. RefSeq lists it as uncharacterized. The record is from RefSeq and is a predicted model, not a curated record. NCBI's taxonomy places the organism in Eukaryota, Viridiplantae, Streptophyta, Magnoliopsida, Asparagales, Orchidaceae. The transcript has 3 exons.